GACGAACGCUGGCGGCGUGCUUAACACAUGCAAGUGGAGCGACGAACCAGGCUUCGGCCUGGGGGCAAAGCCGCGAACGGGUGAGUAACACGUGGGUAACCUGCCCUGAUGACCGGGACAACCCGAGGAAACUCGGGCUAAUACCGGAUGUGCUCCCACCACAUCAGUGGUGUGAGUAAAGGUAGCUUCGGCCUCCGCAUCGGGAUGGGCCCGCGGCGCAUUAGCUUGUUGGUGGGGUAAAGGCCACCAAGGCAACGAUGCGUAGCUGGUCUGAGAGGACGAUCAGCCACACUGGGACUGAGACACGGCCCAGACUCCUACGGGAGGCAGCAGUGGGGAAUCUUGCGCAAUGCGCGAAAGCGUGACGCAGCAACGCCGCGUGGGUGAAGAAGG
This 393-nucleotide ribosomal RNA is filed under the name uncultured bacterium. Its description in RNAcentral is "bacterial SSU rRNA". It matches the Rfam family "Bacterial small subunit ribosomal RNA", at positions 28 to 414 of the family's 1533-position model. The record is from RNAcentral.